GAUGAAGAACGCAGCGAAAUGCGAUACUUGGUGUGGAUUGCAGAAUCCCGUGAACCAUCGAGUCUUUGAACGCAAGUUGCGCCUCAAGCCAUUAGGUUGAGGGCACGUCUGCCUGGGCGUCACAUAUCGUUGCCUGAUGCCAGUUUCCUCGUGAUGGGUGACUGUGCAGGGCGAAUGAUGGCUUCCCGUGAGCAUUGUUGCCUCAUGGUUGGUUGAAAAUUGAGUCCUUGGUAGGGAGCGCCGUGAUAGAUGGUGGUUGAGUGACGAACGAGACCCAAUCAUGUGAGACCCCUACCGAAUUUGGCCUUCAUGACCCACAUGCGUCUUUGGAACGCUCAUGACGAGACCUCAGGUCAGGCGGGGCUACCCGCUGAGUUUAAGCAUAUCAAUAAGCGGAGGA
RNAcentral lists this unclassified non-coding RNA (400 nucleotides) under soil metagenome. Its description in RNAcentral is "partial contains 5.8S ribosomal RNA, internal transcribed spacer 2, and large subunit ribosomal RNA". The stretch from base 1 to 122 matches the Rfam family "5.8S ribosomal RNA", at positions 35 to 154 of the family's 154-position model. The record is from RNAcentral.